AGUGAACGCUGGCGGUAGGCCUAACACAUGCAAGUCGAACGGCAGCACAGUAAGAGCUUGCUCUUACGGGUGGCGAGUGGCGGACGGGUGAGGAAUACAUCGGAAUCUACUUUUUCGUGGGGGAUAACGUAGGGAAACUUACGCUAAUACCGCAUACGACCUACGGGUGAAAGCAGGGGAUCUUCGGACCUUGCGCGAUUGAAUGAGCCGAUGUCGGAUUAGCUAGUUGGCGGGGUAAAGGCCCACCAAGGCGACGAUCCGUAGCUGGUCUGAGAGGAUGAUCAGCCACACUGGAACUGAGACACGGUCCAGACUCCUACGGGAGGAAGCAGUGGGGACUAUUGGACAAUGGGCGCAAGCCUGAUCCAGCCAUACCGCGUGGGUGAAGAAGGCCUUCGGGUUGUAAAGCCCUUUUGUUGGGAAAGAAAAGCAGCAGGUUAAUACCCCGCUGUUCUGACGGUACCCAAAGAAUAAGCACCGGCUAACUUCGUG
Molecule: ribosomal RNA, 492 nt
Filed under: uncultured bacterium
Lineage: Bacteria
Description: partial 16S ribosomal RNA
Rfam family: Bacterial small subunit ribosomal RNA
Source: RNAcentral